RNAcentral lists this ribosomal RNA (427 nucleotides) under uncultured soil bacterium. RNAcentral describes it as "bacterial SSU rRNA". It matches the Rfam family "Bacterial small subunit ribosomal RNA", at positions 966 to 1393 of the family's 1533-position model. The record is from RNAcentral.
GAACCUUACCUGGGCUCGAAAUGCCGUCGCAAGCCUCAGAGAUGAGGUCCUCCCGCAAGGGACGGCGGUAUAGGUGCUGCAUGGCUGUCGUCAGCUCGUGUCGUGAGAUGUUGGGUUAAGUCCCGCAACGAGCGCAACCCUCAUCCUUAGUUGCUCGCCCGCAAGGGAAGCACCCUAGGGAAACUGCCUCCGAUAAGGGGGAGGAAGGUGGGGAUGACGUCAAGUCCUCAUGGCCUUUAUGUCCAGGGCUACACACGUGCUACAAUGGGCGGUACAAACCGUUGCCAACCCGCGAGGGGGAGCCAAUCGGAAAAAACCGCUCUCAGUUCGGAUUGCAGUCUGCAACUCGGCUGCAUGAAGCUGGAAUCGCUAGUAAUCGCAUAUCAGAACGAUGCGGUGAAUACGUUCCCGGGCCUUGUCACACCGA